AAAGGUAAGCUACUAAGAGCGAAUGGUGGAUGCCUUGACUGGUAAAGGCGAUGAAGGACGUACUAGACUGCGAUAAGCUACGGGGAGCUGUCAAGAAGCUUUGAUCCGUAGAUUUCCGAAUGGGGCAACCCAAUGUAUAGAGAUAUACAUUACCUAUAUAGGAGCGAACGAGGGGAAUUGAAACAUCUUAGUACCCUCAGGAAAAGAAAUCAAUAGAGAUUGCGUCAGUAGCGGCGAGCGAAAGCGCAAGAGGGCAAACCCAGUGCUUGCACUGGGGGUUGUAGGACUGCAAUGUGCAAGAGGUAAGUUUAGCAGAACAUUCUGGAAAGUAUAACCAUAGAGGGUGAUAGUCCCGUAUGCGAAAAACAAACCUUAGCUAGCAGUAUCCUGAGUAGGGCGGGACACGAGGAAUCCUGUCUGAAUCCGGGUCGACCACGAUCCAACCCUAAAUACUAAUACCAGAUCGAUAGUGCACAAGUACCGUGAGGGAAAGGUGAAAAGAACUGAGGUGAUCAGAGUGAAAUAGAACCUGAAACCAUUUGCUUACAAUCAUUCAGAGCCCUAUGUAGGAAUACAGGGUGAUGGACUGCCUUUUGCAUAAUGAGCCUGCGAGUUGUGGUGUCUGGCAAGGUUAAGCAAACGCGAAGCCGUAGCGAAAGCGAGUCUGAAUAGGGCGCUUAGUCAGAUGCUGCAGACCCGAAACGAAGUGAUCUAUCCAUGAGCAAGUUGAAGCUAGUGUAAGAACUAGUGGAGGACUGAACCCAUAGGCGUUGAAAAGCCCCGGGAUGACUUGUGGAUAGGGGUGAAAGGCCAAUCAAACUUCGUGAUAGCUGGUUCUCUCCGAAAUAUAUUUAGGUAUAGCGUUGUGUCGUAAUAUAAGGGGGUAGAGCACUGAAUGGGCUAGGGCAUACACCAAUGUACCAAACCCUAUCAAAC
Molecule: ribosomal RNA, 936 nt
Filed under: Campylobacter jejuni
Lineage: Bacteria; Pseudomonadati; Campylobacterota; Epsilonproteobacteria; Campylobacterales; Campylobacteraceae
Description: partial 23S ribosomal RNA
Rfam family: Bacterial large subunit ribosomal RNA
Source: RNAcentral